UCUUCCGUCAGGAAGGAGGUGAACGUAUUUGCUGUAUUACAUGAUUUCGCUUUUCACUUCUGUUAUGGUAGACAUUAUCCUGUAUAAGGUCUACAAAUGGCUAGACAGGAAGUAAGCCCGACAAAUAGCCUAACACAUUGCCUGAUUCCACUUGGAUAAGGCGAAAGCCCUCAGAGCUGCAACUCUGGGGGCUUUCUUUUUGCG
RNAcentral lists this small RNA (204 nucleotides) under Ruminococcus sp. CAG:330. Its description in RNAcentral is "Streptococcus sRNA SpF66". It matches the Rfam family "Streptococcus sRNA SpF66". Lineage: Bacteria; Bacillati; Bacillota; Clostridia; Eubacteriales; Oscillospiraceae. The record is from Rfam by way of RNAcentral.